RNAcentral lists this ribosomal RNA (994 nucleotides) under uncultured bacterium. RNAcentral describes it as "bacterial SSU rRNA". It matches the Rfam family "Bacterial small subunit ribosomal RNA", at positions 375 to 1364 of the family's 1533-position model. The record is from RNAcentral.
CUGGAGAAGCUGAUGAGCCCGCCGCGUGAGUGAAGAAGGCCUUCGGAUUGUAAAACUCUGUUGUACGAAAAGAAUGCUGAUCUUCUUGUAAAAGUUGUGGAUGACCGGUCUCUAACCAGAAACGCCGGGUUAAUUCCUGGCCACCGCCCCGGGAAUUGGUAAGGUGCCAGGGGUUGUCCGGAUUACUGGGGGUAAAACGUGGCCCAGGGGGGAUGAUAAACAUAAUGUAAACCGCCGGGCUUCACCCGUUGCGGGCUUUGUGACUGGUUCAAUUUGGUUGCGCUAAAGGAGGGGGAAUUUCCCGGGGUACCGUGAAAUGGCUAAAUUUGCUGAGGAACCCCCCUGGGCAAAGGCGCCUCCUGGGCCUGUACUGGACCUCAUGCAUCAAAGCGUGGGGAGCAAACCAGAUUUAAUUACCCGGUAGUCCACGCCCUAAACGAUGUGAACGAUUUGUGCUUGGAGGAUCUCAUUGUAUAUGACACCUAACACGUGAAGUUGACUCCCUGUGGAGAACGGCCGCAAGGUUAAAACUCUCAGGAAUUGACGGGGACCCGCACAAGCGGUGGAUGAUGUGUGAUUAUUUCUCUGCACCGCGAAAAACCUUACCUACCCUUGACAUGCCUCAACUUAUUCCAAAUGGCUUGAAGCUCCUUCGAGAGCCUGGACACAGGUGCUGCAUGGCUGUCGUCAGCUCGUGUCGUGAGAUGUUGGGUUAAGUCCCGCAACGAGCGCAACCCUUGUCGUUAAUUGCCAUCAUUAAGUUGGGCACUCUAGCGAGACUGCCGGUGACAAACCGGAGGAAGGUGGGGAUGACGUCAAGUCCUCAUGCCCCUUAUGAGUGGGCUACACACGUGCUACAAUGGUCGGUACAGAGAGUUGCCAGACCGCGAUGUCGAGCCAAUCUCUUAAAGCCGAUCUCAGUCCGGAUUGUAGGCUGCAACUCGACUACAUGAAGUCGGAAUCGCUAGUAAUCGCAGAUCAGCAUGCUGCGGUG